RNAcentral lists this ribosomal RNA (2559 nucleotides) under Triticum aestivum (bread wheat). Its description in RNAcentral is "partial small subunit ribosomal RNA". Lineage: Eukaryota; Viridiplantae; Streptophyta; Magnoliopsida; Poales; Poaceae. The record is from RNAcentral.
CUCCUCCCUCCAACUCCCAAGAGGAGCCUCGGGGUUUCUAGCCGCCGCCCGGCCGCUUCCCGCAAGGCGCUCCCGCGAUUUCUUUUCCCUUUCCGCCGCCGCCUCCUCCACGCAACCGCUUGCUGCUGGCCUCUACUCGGUCCUGCAAGAACCACCGGCACCGGGUUGGAUUCAUUUUCCCUGCCUGCCUGCCUGCCUUUCUUGUCCAGUUCGCCGGGAGCGAGGAAUCAAUCUUCAUCUGCCGCCGGGAGAGCUAGCUAGGAUAAUACUCCUACACAGGAGGAGGUGGAAUUUGCCUGUGAUUAUUGCAAGAUCUCGCGCCAAGAAGAGGAAGCAGCAGCAGCAGCAGGAGCAGAUUCUUCAACAAAGGAGGGAGGCGGAUCGUGGCGGCAUGGGUUCUUGCGAGGAUCUGGGGUACGGCGACGUCUACUCCGUCCCCAACCCGGCGGCUGCCCCCGCCUACGCGCUCGACUUCUCCCUCCACCACCAGCAGCAGCAGCAGCUCCGGUUCCCCCCUUCUUCAUACGGCUUCCACGGCCUUCCUGCCGCUUCCGCCGCCUAUUACCAGCCGUCUCCGCCGCAGUCGGCGCUGAUUGGCAGCACGCCGAGCCCCGUCUCCACCACCACGGAGCUGGGGAGCCCCGAGGAGGCCUCCGACGACGCCGUGCUCGCCUACAUCAACCAGUUCCUCCUCGAGGACGACGACGACGACGAGUUCUUUGCACCCGCCAGCGAGCCGGCGCGGGACUCGGCGCUCCUCGCCGUCGCUAAGCCCUUCGUCGACAUCAUCGCCGACGCCAAGCCCGCCGCGGCAACGGUGUACCAGGACAGGUCUUGGAUGGAUCCCUGCUGUGCCUUCGCAACGAUGGGAGGAGGGUCCCCUGAUAUGUUCGUCAGCAGCCGACAGAGCUCCUGUCAGUUGGUGCCCUGCGAUUCCGUGAAGGAGGAGGAGGAGUGCGCCGUCCACAAGGGCCGGAAGAACCGCCACGGCGACGACGACCUGGAGCCGGAGGACGAGAGGCGGCGCAAGCAGCUGGCGCUGUCCGAGGAGGAGACCGUCCGGGAGAUGUUCGACAAAGUGCUCCUCUGCAGCGGUGUCAACUGCAUCCUCCAGUCACCACUGCCAGCCGAAGCAGAGAUCAGCAGCGUGUACGUGAAAGGGUCAGGGAACCGGAGAGGCCGCAAGAAGGGCAAGACCGGAGUGCCCACCGUGGAGGAGGAGUCCGUCGAUCUGACAACCCUGCUCAUACACUGCGCCCAGGCCGCGGCUAUCGAUGAUCACCGCGGUUCGGGCGAGCUGCUGAAGCAGAUCAGGCGGCAUUCUUCCCCUCAUGGGGAUGCCGGGCAGAGGCUGGCGCAUUACAUUGCUAAUGGGCUCGAGGCUCGCCUUGCCGGCACCGGUAGCACCGUCUACCGCUCGCUUGUUGCACGGCGAACUUCUUCCGCUGACAUGCUGAAAAUAUUCAAGCUGUAUGGGACCGCAUGCCCGUUCAUCAGGAUGUCCAGGUUCUACUCGAAUGAAGCCAUCUUGGAUGCUGCUGCCAAGGGUGUGACAAGCGUGCACAUUGUGGACUAUGGUAUAGACUGGGGCUUCCAGUGGCCAAUCUUCUUGCAGCGGAUCUCCAAGAGAGACGGCGGCCCCCCAAGAAUACGGAUCACCGCCAUCGACUUACCGCAGCCAGGGUUCCGGCCUGCGGAGCGUUUAGAGGCGACAGGCCGGCGGUUACGUGACUACGCCAAGAUGUUUGAUGUUCCCUUUGAGUACCGUGCGAUUGCUGCCAAGUGGGAUGCCAUCCGAGUCGAAGACCUCAGGAUCGACAAGGAUGACCUUCUUAUUGUCAACUGCUUGUUCAGAAUGCGGCACAUGAUGGACGAGACGGUGGCCGAUGAGAGCCCGAGGAAGACAGUCUUGAACACGAUCAGGAAGAUGAACCCGCAUCGGUUCAUCCACGCGGUUGUCAAUGGCACCUACAACGCGCCAUUCUUCGUGACGCGCUUCAAGGAGGCUCUCUUCUAUUUCUCCUCGCUCUACGACAUGCUCGAAGCGACCGCACCGCCGGUGGAUGAGCACAGGCAGCUGAUCGAAAGGGAAUACUUCGGACGGGAGCUUCUCAACGUGGUCGCUUGCGAGGGCACGGAGAGGGUCGAGAGGCCGGAGACCUACAAGCAAUGGCAGGUAAGGAACCUCAGGGCAGGGUUCAGGCAGGUGCCUCUGCUUCAAGAGACGGUGAAAAAAGCAAGAUACAAGGUAAUCAAGAGCUAUCACAGGGAUUUCUUCGUCGACGAAGAUAACAAGUGGAUGCUGCAGGGUUGGAAGGGCAGAGUCAUCGGCGCCCUAUCCACAUGGAAACCUAGCUAGAACUUUAGAGACAUGUUGCCUGGUACAUUUCAUCACUUUUUUUUUUCUGUUCUGUUGUACUAUCUGAUAUUCUGAUGCUUAUGUUGUUGAAUUUUGACCCUUUGUUGGGAGCAGAGUUGAUGGAUAUUUUUGCUAAACUUGACUAGAACAGAAGCUUCUUGCAUAUGUUUUGUACCAAAUGAAGCAUGUGUAUUGCAAAC